UGGGGAAUAUUGGACAAUGGGCGAAAGCCUGAUCCAGCCAUGCCGCGUGUGUGAAGAAGGUCUUCGGAUUGUAAAGCACUUUAAGUUGGGAGGAAGGGCAGUAAGCGAAUACCUUGCUGUUUUGACGUUACCGACAGAAUAAGCACCGGCUAACUCUGUGCCAGCAGCCGCGGUAAUACAGAGGGUGCAAGCGUUAAUCGGAAUUACUGGGCGUAAAGCGCGCGUAGGUGGUUCGUUAAGUUGGAUGUGAAAGCCCCGGGCUCAACCUGGGAACUGCAUCCAAAACUGGCGAGCUAGAGUAGGGCAGGGGGUGGUGGAAUUUCCUGUGUAGCGGUGAAAUGCGUAGAUAUAGGAAGGAACACCAGUGGCGAAGGCGACCACCUGGGCUCAUACUGACACUGAGGUGCGAAAGCGUGGGGAGCAAACAGG
This 429-nucleotide ribosomal RNA is filed under the name Acidobacteriota bacterium. RNAcentral's name for it is "Acidobacteria bacterium partial 16S ribosomal RNA". It matches the Rfam family "Bacterial small subunit ribosomal RNA", at positions 355 to 776 of the family's 1533-position model. Lineage: Bacteria; Pseudomonadati; Acidobacteriota. The record is from RNAcentral.